UACGGGGGGGGCAAGCGUUGUUCGGAAUUACUGGGCGUAAAGGGCUCGUAGGCGGCCAACUAAGUCGGACGUGAAAUCCCUCGGCUUAACCUGGGAACUGCAUUUGUGACUGCAUGGCUAGAGUUUGGCAGAGGGGGGUAGAAUUCCACGUGUAGCAGUGAAAUGCGUAGAUAUGUGGAGGAACACCGAUGGCGAAGGCAGCCCCCUGGGUCAAGACUGACGCUCAUGCACGAAAGCGUGGGGAGCAAACAGG
This 253-nucleotide ribosomal RNA is filed under the name uncultured bacterium. Its description in RNAcentral is "partial 16S ribosomal RNA". It matches the Rfam family "Bacterial small subunit ribosomal RNA", at positions 524 to 776 of the family's 1533-position model. The record is from RNAcentral.